This is a long non-coding RNA of Lathyrus oleraceus (garden pea), 1433 nucleotides long. RefSeq lists it as uncharacterized. The transcript has 4 exons. NCBI's taxonomy places the organism in Eukaryota, Viridiplantae, Streptophyta, Magnoliopsida, Fabales, Fabaceae. The record is from RefSeq and is a predicted model, not a curated record.
CUUCUGUUGACUUGUCCAAGUCAACAGAUUCAAAAUGAAUUUCAAAAACGCGCGCUAAUUUCUCCUAAGGGAUCACCGUCCCUCCGCCUUGAAGCAUCGCGCCAGCGUCCGUCGUCGACGCCAGUAAUGGCCUAAGCCUAAGAUGUUACCACCAAUGGAAGCCCUAAGAUGAGCUAAACACGGAUAUGGGGAUAUGAUUGGGAGACGGUCUUUGUGGUGUUCGAAUCGAACAGAUAAAGGGAAAACCCUAGCUAUCUACCGGUUUAAUUACAUGGCUCAUGGUGUGAAUCGAACCUUAGUACCAUGGGGCUUCGGCUUCCUAUCAUAGAUACUAGACCUUGGCGUGCUUAGAGAAAGAAAAAGACACGAAAUGGAAAAUGACAUACCGGAGAAGAUGAUCGGAGAAUUCGCCGGUUACUAGUUUUGGUUGAUGCAUGAUGCUUGACAAUUCCAACUUGGCAUUCAGAUGGAAGCAAAACAGUGCAAGUUGGUUGAUUGAUCAAGAUGGAUUGCUUCCCUUAUGCUGCAGAGUUAUUGAAUUUAAAAUGCAUUAGGUUGUUGCAGGAUUGACUUGCAGCAUUUCCAACUUGCCUGCUGCAGAUUUGUUGUGGUUUGUUUGAUGUUUGCCUUACUAUAGCUUGUUAGCCUUGUACUCAUGUCUGACAGUGUCAAGCUGGACGCAAAGUUUUUGUGGUGUGUAGAAUGGUUUGUAGAAAAUGGUGGGAUGCUAGGCAUGUAUAGCCCAUGGGAAGCAUGCAUUGGCUCAUGGUGAAAUAGAAUUGUGGCUUGGCACAUGGAAUAUUCUGCUUGCAGGUUUUGGUCAGUUUGGUAUUACUGCAAGAUUGCAUGUAUUUAUUCAUGUUUCAUUGCACCUCUGACAUGGUUCUGCAUGUGUGUUUGGUUAUGGUUUAGAACUGAGUUUGAAGCAGGUAAGGCUCAUGAGUUGCAAAUGGUUAUUGUAUGAUUCAGGUGAUGCUGCAAAAAUAUGGUUGUUCUUAUUGUAUUGCAAACACUUUCCAUGAUUUUACCCUGAACUGUAAUAGACUGUUGGGAUUUGUUGAAACAAUGUGUUAUUCAAAUGCAGGUUUUGAGGUUGAGUUGAGGACCUCACCUGGACUUCUCUUGGCUUCAACAGGUUGGCUUGUUAUUAUGUUGGCUGAGUGAUAAAUGAAUCAUUUGGUUGAGGUUAGUUGUAGUUAGGAUUGUUAGCUUUGUUAGUGUAAUGAGCUGCUACUGUUAGGUUCGGUUAGUUGGAGCCUGGUUUUUGUAAGUUGGUAUGUUAACAUAUGCCAUGUCCCUGCUGCAAUGGGGUUGCUGCUUGUUGGUGUUGAUGUAGCUACCAUUUGCGAUGGACUGAACUGUUUAGAUGCUAGCUCAUAACUGUUAUGUGCAUGGUUUGAUAGUUCAGUGGUCAUGGCUUGCUGACAAAUUUC